GACGAACGCUGGCGGCGUGCCUAACACAUGCCAGUCGAACGGAAAGGCCCUGCUUUUGUGGGGUGCUCGAGUGGCGAACGGGUGAGUAACACGUGAGUAACCUGCCCUUGACUUUGGGAUAACUUCAGGAAACUGGGGCUAAUACCGGAUAGGAGCUCCUGCUGCAUGGUGGGGGUUGGAAAGUUUCGGCGGUUGGGGAUGGACUCGCGGCUUAUCCGCUUGUUGGUGGGGUAGUGGCUUACCAAGCCUUUGACGGAUAGCCGGCUUGAGAGGUUGACCGGCGACAUGGGGACUGAGAGAGGGCGCAGACUCCAACGGGAGGCAGCGGGGGGGAAUAUGGCACAGUGGGCGGAAGCCUGUUGCAGAAACGCCGGGAGCGGAAUGACGGCUUACGGGUUGUAAACCGCUUUCGCCGGUGACGAAGCGUGGGUGACGGUAAUGGGUAAAAAAGCACCGGCUAACUACGUG
RNAcentral lists this ribosomal RNA (468 nucleotides) under uncultured bacterium. Its description in RNAcentral is "partial 16S ribosomal RNA". It matches the Rfam family "Bacterial small subunit ribosomal RNA", at positions 28 to 507 of the family's 1533-position model. The record is from RNAcentral.